UACGGAGGGGACUAGCGUUGUUCGGAAUUACUGGGCGUAAAGCGCACGUAGGCGGAUUUGUAAGUCAGGGGUGAAAUCCCGGGGCUCAACUUCGGAACUGCCUUUGAUACUGCGAAUCUCGAGUCCGGAAGAGGUGAGUGGAAUUCCUAGUGUAGAGGUGAAAUUCGUAGAUAUUAGGAAGAACACCAGUGGCGAAGGCGGCUCACUGGUCCGGUACUGACGCUGAGGUGCGAAAGCGUGGGGAGCAAACAGG
Molecule: ribosomal RNA, 253 nt
Filed under: uncultured bacterium
Lineage: Bacteria
Description: partial 16S ribosomal RNA
Rfam family: Bacterial small subunit ribosomal RNA
Source: RNAcentral